GGGGAAUCAGCCUUACGACCGUUGGCAGAGAGAUAGACUAGUUAUAAGCCUUGGUUGUUGUGUGCAAUUCAUUGCUCAUGAUGGUCUUGGCGACUGUCUUUCCUCUAAUAAGCUAAUGGUUGUUGGGUGCACUUCCCCUCGUCUUUUG
RNAcentral lists this ribosomal RNA (148 nucleotides) under Tethysbaena scabra. RNAcentral describes it as "partial 28S ribosomal RNA". Lineage: Eukaryota; Metazoa; Arthropoda; Malacostraca; Thermosbaenacea; Monodellidae. The record is from RNAcentral.